Molecule: long non-coding RNA, 1482 nt
Organism: Lotus japonicus
Lineage: Eukaryota; Viridiplantae; Streptophyta; Magnoliopsida; Fabales; Fabaceae
Exons: 6
Source: RefSeq, a predicted model, not a curated record
UUCACCUUUUCUCCUUCAUUCACGUUAGAAAGAAACACUUCACCUUUCUGACGUUUCGUUCCUUUUCUCCUUCUGAGCCGUUUCUCUAGGGUUUCAAAACCAUUUAAAGCCUUCCGCAGAGAAUUUUAUGUAUCUGGCCAUCUCUGCUUCAGUCAAGGAUCCGCUGCAAUCACGUUUGACAUGGGAAUUCAGGUCUUCUGCAAUCUCCAUGUCCGCUUGGAAGCCAUGGAGUAAUUGAGUUGAAGUAACUAUCCGUGUUCUUCUUCCCUUCAGUUUCUCGCUGCAAUCAUCUUCUGAAUUGCAUCACGUUCUUCUUCCCUUCAGUUUCUCUCUAGGGUUCCGAAAUUGACAGAUUUGGGAGAGAGGCUUUCUGCAAUUUUCCAGGUUAUAUCAAUGUUAAUGAAGACUGUGGGAGGGCCCUUUUCUAUUGGUUCUUUGAAGCUCAAUUUGAAUCGUGCAAAAAGCCUCUACUUCUCUAGCUCUAUGGAGGUCUAUGGUUAUCUAUUUGCUAAAUAUAUACUGAUUCUGCAGAAGCCAAUAUUCCUUCUGUUCUAGAUUAUGUGGGAACUUUCAUUGAGUGAACUAAAUAUCAAGGGAGCUACCCUAUCCAGUCAACUUAUGAGGUGAAAGAACAAUCCCUGCUCCAUCAGAGGAGAUAUCAGAAAAUUAGAGCACCGCAUGGCUCUCAUUCUUCACCAUAGCAAUACAAACACCAAACGCUCCACGGUCCAUCAAGUUGUUGUUACAAACACAGAGUGCUUUGUUCGGUUCCUCAAGAUGAACCUGUCCUCCAAGCAAGCUUCCCUGUGCUUCUGUUUUAGACAUCCAAAUGGUUCAAUUUCUUCUCCUCUACCAUCCGAACGAUUUCUCAAGUUUAACCUGUCUUCCAAGCCAUGUUCGCCUCCCCUUUUACCCAAAUGGUUUUCGAUCGCUAAGGUUUAGGAUCCCCUCCAUGCUUCUGUCACUUUGACCUGCCACCUUCAUGGCCUGGAUCAGAUGAGUAACUCUGUUGUUGUUCACUUCCCCUUCUUUGGUUUCAUUUUGUGUUUCACCACCAUAAUGAUUAUUUUGGUAUUUAUUGGUGACUCUCUUCUGCAUUCUCUGAAACCAGGGCUUGCAGGGUCAAAAAUUAACCCCUUUCAGAGACCAGAGAAAUGGUUUGAUGGUGGCAGGGUAUUGGUCGUGUGAUGCGCAGAUCACUGGCAGCGCGGAGAUGUAGGUGGAAGUGCUUAUUUCACUCUCCUCCAAUUUACACCCAACUUUAUGGGAAAACACUGUCCCAGAUGGCGAGAAAAAUGAAAUCAGAGAGAACCAAAGCUGAAGAGAAGAUCCUUCUUCAUGCAUAGUGCAUUAAGAAGAUCCUUCUUCAUUUCCUUCCUACUAUUAGAAACUUUGAUAAGAUCCUUCUUAACUAUAUGUAUAUCUUUUCAACUUUUGAGUUGUAAUGAAGGGAUUUUUUUAAGUGUGUUUUCUUUGCAGUUA